ACCAUCUAAAAUGUGAUGAAUGUCAUACUCGUUCCAAGUGAGAAUUAAUUAUGGCAAUGACAAGAGUGCUACCAAAGCCACCCAUACUCUAUGACAAUGUUGCAUUAACAGAAGCAAUCAGUAGAGUUUCAAAUAAAAAUAAUACUGUAAAACCUGCCUUUCCUGCUUAGAGUCCCAAGAUAGGUGAGUCAUCAUGACUCCAAACUUCUGUUGUGAAUAAAGCAAGAAGAAGAUAAAGAGCAGCACUUUCUCUUGCUGGGAGCUGCAGAUAAACCCCCUGUCACUUACCUACACUCAUCCUCAGUGAGAACAAAGCCAGCUCUGUAGCUGAGUCCAGACAGCAUCUCUGACUGGAGCAGACCCGAGGGGACAUUCCAGCAUGGGCCUGGCACUGCAUUUGGUGGCAUACAGUCCUUCACUAUGCUCUGCUUCUAUGAACCAAAACCACUAAAACAAAUAUUGGCAGUGAAAUAAUUCCACCAUGUGUUAUUCUAACACCACAGUUCAGAAUUAUGAGUAGUC
This is a long non-coding RNA of Marmota monax (woodchuck), 522 nucleotides long. RefSeq lists it as uncharacterized. The transcript is spliced from 3 exons. The record is from RefSeq and is a predicted model, not a curated record. Lineage: Eukaryota; Metazoa; Chordata; Mammalia; Rodentia; Sciuridae.